Scleropages formosus (Asian bonytongue) is the source of this 1069-nucleotide long non-coding RNA. RefSeq lists it as uncharacterized. NCBI's taxonomy places the organism in Eukaryota, Metazoa, Chordata, Actinopteri, Osteoglossiformes, Osteoglossidae. The record is from RefSeq and is a predicted model, not a curated record. The transcript has 4 exons.
AAUGGAAAAUAUACUUUAAAAACAAUAUUGCAGUGCAUUGGACUCCACACAGCAGUGGAUCCAGCACCUUUUCUACAGUUUCUGACCCCGGACUAUGACCUUUGACCUUCUGAGUGACGGUUUCACUGUAAUUUGUGGACACACGUCCCCAGCAGGUGCGAGACGCACUCAGUCGCCGGUGGGAGGAACGGCCAAACGCAGCUGUUCCCGUGACCUUUCCGUGUUAUUAACACCGCCCCAAUGCGCAGAUGGAUUGAGACAAACCCAGCACACCUGUGUUCCCGACCAGGGGAAGCAGGAGUGGAGCCGCUGGUUGCAUCGUGCUUAGAACUGCUGCCCUUGGAGCCAAUGGCUACAGGUUCGAGUCUCACCUCCAGUUACGAUACUCUUGAGCAAGCGGCUCAAGUGUCACCAGGGCUCCAGAACGAAGACGGUUGCAGGACCAGCCGGACAGGUUGAGAUAACGCCACUGGGCGACGCCCCCUGCGGUGACGGUGACGCUUGGCCAAACGUAACGGACAGCAGCAGCAGCCCGAUGACAGGCCUCUGGCAACUGGCUGCACAGUAAAUCAUCCCCAAUCCCAUCAUCCCUCACUUAAGGGCUGUGGAGGAUUCGCUCCGUCAGGGAAGUGAGACGGAAGCCGCAGCCUCACAUCACCCAGGUGGAACACCUGACCGCAAGUUCACUCACCGCAGUAAACCGUGACCGUCGCUCGCAGUAAAACAGCGCCGUUCCGUUUCUCAGCAGACACCUUCAUCCAUGGUGCUUUUCAGAGCUGACGGCUCCACUCCUCCCCUUUACGAAGGUGGACGGUUUGAUGGAAACACUUUUCUUUGCCUGGCUGAGGGACACUGCAGCUCUCUGGGACUCAAAGUGACCUCAUGUCCAGGUGCUUAACUAGUACCUAACUGCUAUACCAUUGGUUUCUGUGUGAAGUUCCUCCAAAGAAAAUUUACUCUUAUUGCAGCUUUUCUUUACUCUCGCUGUACUCUGCCUGUACUCUCAGGGAUCUCUAAAUACUGCUUUACUAUCAGUACUGUUACUGUACUCUACUUUUACCACAUUGUC